GACGAACGCUGGCGGCGUGCUUAAUACAUGCAAGUCGAGCGAGGUCCAUCUGGUGGCAACACCAGUGAAGGCCGAGCGGCGAACGGGUGAGUAACACGUGAGCAACCUGCCCCGAAGUCUGGAAUAACAUCGGGAAACCGGUGCUAAUACCGGAUCGCCCCACCUGACCGCAUGAUCGGGUGAGGAAAGAUUUAUCGCUUCGGGAGGGGCUCGCGGCCUAUCAGCUAGUGGUGGGGUAACGGCCUACCAAGGCGUCGACGGGUAGCUGGUCUGAGAGGACGGUCGGUCACACUGACACUGAAUAACGGGUCAGACUCCUACGGGAGGCAGCAGUCGGGAAUUUUGGGCAAUGGGCGAAAGCCUGACCCAGCAACGCCGCGUGAAGGAUGAAGUAUUUCGGUAUGUAAACUUACGAAAGAAUAAGGAAG
This 428-nucleotide ribosomal RNA is filed under the name uncultured bacterium. RNAcentral describes it as "bacterial SSU rRNA". It matches the Rfam family "Bacterial small subunit ribosomal RNA", at positions 28 to 450 of the family's 1533-position model. The record is from RNAcentral.